GAUGAACGCUGGCGGCGUGCCUAAUACAUGCAAGUCGAGCGAACAGACGAGGAGCUUGCUCCUCUGACGUUAGCGGCGGACGGGUGAGUAACACGUGGAUAACCUACCUAUAAGACUGGGAUAACUUCGGGAAACCGGAGCUAAUACCGGAUAAUAUAUUGAACCGCAUGGUUCAAUAGUGAAAGACGGCUUUGCUGUCACUUAUAGAUGGAUCCGCGCCGCAUUAGCUAGUUGGUAAGGUAACGGCUUACCAAGGCGACGAUGCGUAGCCGACCUGAGAGGGUGAUCGGCCACACUGGAACUGAGACACGGUCCAGACUCCUACGGGAGGCAGCAGUAGGGAAUCUUCCGCAAUGGGCGAAAGCCUGACGGAGCAACGCCGCGUGAGUGAUGAAGGUCUUCGGAUCGUAAAACUCUGUAAUUAGGGAAGAACAAAUGUGUAAGUAACUAUGCACGUCUUGACGGUACCUAAUCAGAAAGCCACGGCUAACUACGUG
Molecule: ribosomal RNA, 497 nt
Filed under: uncultured bacterium
Lineage: Bacteria
Description: partial 16S ribosomal RNA
Rfam family: Bacterial small subunit ribosomal RNA
Source: RNAcentral